Molecule: ribosomal RNA, 233 nt
Filed under: Clostridium botulinum
Lineage: Bacteria; Bacillati; Bacillota; Clostridia; Eubacteriales; Clostridiaceae
Description: partial 23S ribosomal RNA
Rfam family: Bacterial large subunit ribosomal RNA
Source: RNAcentral
GCCUUGGGUAGCCGCAAAUAGGCUGAGAUCCAGGGAUUUCCGAAUGAGGAAACUCACAUGGGUAACCCCAUGUAUCAUGCACUGAAUACAUAGGUGUAUGAGGGUAAACCCGGGGAACUGAAACAUCGAAGUACCCGGAGGAAGAGAAAGAAAAAUCGAUUUCCUAAGUAGCGGCGAGCGAACGGGAAAGAGCCCAAACCAGAAACUUGUUUCUGGGGUUGUGGAUAGAUCAU